This 821-nucleotide ribosomal RNA is filed under the name uncultured marine bacterium. Its description in RNAcentral is "bacterial SSU rRNA". It matches the Rfam family "Bacterial small subunit ribosomal RNA", at positions 28 to 896 of the family's 1533-position model. The record is from RNAcentral.
AACGAACGCUGGCGGCAGGCCUUAUACAUGCAAGUCGAGCGCAUCCUUCGGGAUGAGCGGCGGACGGGUGAGUAACGCGUGGGAAUGUGCCCUUCUCUACGGAAUAGCCACUGGAAACGGUGAGUAAUACCGUAUACGCCCUCAGGGGGAAAGAUUUAUCGGAGAAGGAUCAGCCCGCGUUAGAUUAGGUAGUUGGUGGGGUAACGGCCUACCAAGCCUACGAUCUAUAGCUGGUUUUAGAGGAUGAUCAGCCACACUGGGACUGAGACACGGCCCAGACUCCUACGGGAGGCAGCAGUAGGGAAUCUUGGACAAUGGGGGCAACCCUGAUCCAGCCAUGCCGCGUGAGUGAAGAAGGCCCUAGGGUCGUAAAGCCCUUUCGCCUGUGAUGAUAAUGACAGUAGCAGGUAAAGAAACCCCGGCUAACUCCGUGCCAGCAGCCGCGGUAAUACGGAGGGGGUUAGCGUUGUUCGGAAUUACUGGGCGUAAAGCGCGCGUAGGCGGAUUGGAAAGUUGGGGGUGAAAUCCCGGGGCUCAACCCCGGAACUGCCUUCAAAACUCCCAGUCUAGAGUUCGAGAGAGGUGAGUGGAAUUCCGAGUGUAGAGGUGAAAUUCGUAGAUAUUCGGAAGAACACCAGUGGCGAAGGCGGCUCACUGGCUCGAUACUGACGCUGAGGUGCGAAAGUGUGGGGAGCAAACAGGAUUAGAUACCCUGGUAGUCCACACCGUAAACGAUGAAUGCCAGUCGUCGGAUAGUAUACUAUUCGGUGACACACCUAACGGAUUAAGCAUUCCGCCUGGGGAGUACGGUCGCAAGAUUA